RNAcentral lists this long non-coding RNA (1009 nucleotides) under Ananas comosus (pineapple). RNAcentral describes it as "long non-coding RNA (ACOM_LNC037791)". The record is from RNAcentral. Lineage: Eukaryota; Viridiplantae; Streptophyta; Magnoliopsida; Poales; Bromeliaceae.
UCCAUCUCAGAGACCGGUCCCAGAACACAAGAAAGUUCAGAAAAGUUGUUUAAAAACAAUCUAAGCCUUCUGAACUUAUUCUAAUUAUGUAUCUUCACCACAAAUGAUCUUUUCUUCAUACCUUAGGUGUCGAUCUUUCCGAAUGAGUCUUCGUCCUUCAAUUUGAAUCUCUUCUCAAAAACUUCUGCGAUCAACUCUUCAAGACUCCAAACAACUUUACGAAAUUCGCCAACCUAUAAAAUCCUUAACAAUCUCCCCCUUUGGCGAUUUCGUGACAAAAUAUAACACAAAGUUUGUAUACAACCAAUAAGUCAUAAAAAGAAGAUCAUCGCAAUCACCAAACGAUAAUCUCCUGCAUGAUCAAUCCAAUAAACAAAAUUUACACUUUUACAACCUUAAUACAAACUCUAUGACUUAGACAUGGAGUCUUGAAGUCUUGAAUUAUUCCUGCAAAAACAUUCUCAAAACAUAAUCAAGAUUCAAGUAUCAAGAAGAUCAAACAAUCAACUAAAGUUCACACUUCAUAGUUCAUAGUCAAACUAACCGAAAGCACUAAGUCAGACACCUAAAGCAUCAUAGUUCAUAAUUAAACAUCUUAACUAACUAAACAUCAGGAAUGCAUUAAACAUCUUAACUAACUAAACAUCAGGAAUGCAUCAUCAUCAUCAUUAAGACCAGACCAUCCCAUCCAUCUCCCCCUUUUUGUCAGAAAGCGCCAAAACGACAAAAGGAGAAGCUCGGUAACUCCUAGUCAGAAUCAUCUCCUGGAGGUAAAUCUGCCCGACAACAUCCCAAUUUGUCAAAAAUCAUAUUCAACAGGCGCUUCAUCUUGCUCACAUCCUUACGAAUCGCAGCUUGUUCUGCAGACAACUUCUGAAGCUCCUCAGAUAGACGUUGCUGCUCGCGAUACACCGAUGAAACGGAAAUAUCUUCCUCAGAAAUGUCCAUAGAAGGACGGGAAGAAGUAGCAGUAGCAGGAGGUGGAGCUGCAGGAGGGGAAGAAGCACGU